CAUAGGAGGGACAGGAGCCCUAGGCAAUAUGUAUUAAGUAGACUUUCAUGAACUCAACGAGAUACUGCAAGAGAUAAAAUAAUGAGAUGCUACGUCAUAGGAUCUGUCUCUGAGUCCACAUUGUGGGAGAAAAGACCAUUCUUCGGAAAGAUGCAGGGGAAGCCCCGUACCUCAAGGGAUUGAGAUGGGAGACUGAGGGAAUCCUGGGGUCUCUGCCCUCUCCCUCAGGCUGCUUUCCUGAAGAGCAGUGGUAUGGCCUCUCUGGAAUCUUCCAGA
Molecule: long non-coding RNA, 276 nt
Filed under: Homo sapiens (human)
Lineage: Eukaryota; Metazoa; Chordata; Mammalia; Primates; Hominidae
Description: HSALNT0106090
Source: RNAcentral